ACACGACUACAUUAGAUACCCGCGUAGUCCCAGCCCUAAACGAUGCGCGUUAGGUGUAUCGGUGACCACGAGUCACCGAGGUGCCGAAGGGAAACCGUGAAACGUGCCGCCUGGGAAGUACGGUCGCAAGGCUGAAACUUAAAGGAAUUGGCGGGGAGCACCACAACGGGUGGAGCCUGCGGUUUAAUUGGAUUCAACGCCGGAAAUCUUACCGGGACCGACAGCAACAUGAAGGCCAGGCUGAAGACUUUGCCGGAUUAGCUG
RNAcentral lists this ribosomal RNA (264 nucleotides) under uncultured archaeon. RNAcentral describes it as "partial 16S ribosomal RNA". It matches the Rfam family "Archaeal small subunit ribosomal RNA", at positions 717 to 982 of the family's 1478-position model. The record is from RNAcentral.